Molecule: long non-coding RNA, 315 nt
Filed under: Nicotiana benthamiana
Lineage: Eukaryota; Viridiplantae; Streptophyta; Magnoliopsida; Solanales; Solanaceae
Description: long non-coding RNA (NBEN_LNC015199)
Source: RNAcentral
GGAUAAGAAGAUGCGAGAAGCGAGGCUGAGGUGGUUCGGGCAUGUGCGGAGAAGAAGUCCCGACGCCCCGGUGAGGAGCUGCGAGCGGCUGGAUAUUGUUGGCGGUCGGCGAGGAAGAGGGAGGCCUAAGAAGCAUUAGGGAGAGGUGAUUAGGCAGGACAUGACUAGAAUGCAGGUUUCCGAGAACAUGACCGUUGAUAGGAAAGUCUGGAGGUCUAGAAUCAGGGUCAUAGGAUAGGGGCUCCUAGUGUUUUUCGUACGCCUCAUCCGGGGUUGGGAGUGGGUCAGCAGGGUUACCCAUAGAUGAUUUGUNNN